RNAcentral lists this long non-coding RNA (14042 nucleotides) under Gallus gallus (chicken). Lineage: Eukaryota; Metazoa; Chordata; Aves; Galliformes; Phasianidae. The record is from RNAcentral.
GAGGGAUAUACGUAUCUAUAGGUUACAGGCAAGUGAGUAGUGUCGUACAGCAGCAUCCAUGGGACAGCAGCGGUCUUCUCUAACGAUGCCCACAGCUUCCGCUCCCCUCGGCCACUACUGUAUGAGAACUUCCAAGCACAGUUAAUUAGCAGCUGCGGGUCUCCUCCCGGCUGAGGGAACAUGCAUAGGAAUGCUCUGUAACUUCAGUUCUAAGAGCUGGAUCUGACACGUAACGCUGUAAAGAACUGUUAAAUGGUAAUUGGGGACCCGACACCGUCCCUCAGGAGGGGAACUCACUCCACUCCCACCCCGCGCACACCGCUGCGUAUCCGCGGAGCGCCGCCCGCCCCGAGAGUCGCCCCGGGGUGGGAUUUGGCAGUUCGGUCCAUCUGUAGCGGAGCCCGUCCCGGAGCCGCCGGGGGAAGGCGGUGCGGCGCUCCCAGCAGCGUGGGGGUGGGGGCGGCGGCCCCGGGAGGGUUCUCAUUGCGUUCGCUCUGCCGGAGCCCGACCCUCCCCUUUCACCGAAGCCCCGGCGACGCACGCAGGGCGCUGGGUUGUUUUCCGAACGCUCAGUCGAGUAGAAACGGACCGCGCCACUCCUCCAUCACCGCACGUCAGCCACAAGAAAUAAAUACACCGUCACUUUAUUGCCCCGGGCGGUCCUCGGCGCGCGGCCUUCCGAGCAGCCCGUGCCGGCGGCCUUUCCCCGGCGGGAGCGACGCGAUCCCGGCGGAGGGCCGAGCCGCGGCCCGGGGCGCCGUCCUCGCGCGGUCGGACGGGCCGGGCCGGGCCGGGCGGGGCUCCCCGCGCCGAUGUCCGCCUCCCCUCGCGGCCGGGCGCUCCGCGGCGUUCCCUCCGGUCCCGAGGGCCGGCGCGCGGCGGGCGCCGCCUCAGGGGCAGACGCGGGGCCCCGGGUACGGCUCUCCCCCGCACCAGAAGUCGGCGGCCGGCGCGGUCUCCAGCAGCCACACCUCCCUCGGCAGCGCGGGCUCGGCGCCGGCCGGCGGCCCCUCCAGCAGGCGGUAGUAGUGGCAGUCCCGGCCGUGCUCGGGGUCGUAGGGCGGCGCCAGGAUGUCGAGGAAGGCGGCGGGGCCCUCCACCGCGUCGAUCUGGUGCAGGUUGUCGGUGUGCGGCGAGAGCAGGCAGGGCGGCGAGGCGGGCGUGUAGUGCUGCCGGGAGCGCAGCAGGGCGCGCAGGCACGGCCCCGGGGCGGGCGGCGGCGGCGGGGCGGCGGCGGCGGGCAGCGCGUCCAUGCAGGCGAUGCGCAGCGUGCCGUACAGCACCUUCAGCAUGCCGUUCAUCCCCGGGUGGUCGUGCAGCGGGAUGCAGGCGCCGCCGCGCAGCAGGAACACGCCCAUGCUGAAGCUCUCGGUCUCGCAGAUGUGCAUGUAGCUGACGGGCGGCACGGCGCCGGCCCGCGGGCACCCCGCGCCCCCCGCCGCCGCCGCCGCCGCCGCCGGUCCCUGCGGCGCUAAGUGCAGGUCCUCGGCGCGCACCUCGUCCAGCAGCUGCUGCAGCCGGUGCAGGUUCUCCCCGAAGGCCGGUCCCGCGGGGCUGCGGAAGGUGAUGCGCGCCUGCCGCGCCACCCGCUGGAUCAGGGAGGCCAUGUUGUCCCGGGGCAUGGCGGCUCCCGGCCCGGUCCGGUCCGGCCCGGCCCCGCGCGCCCGCCCGCGCCAGGCGCUCCCGUCGCUUCCUCCCGCCGCUUCCUCCCGCGACCGCCCAGACGCGCAGGCGCGCCCGCGUCGCCGUGCACCACGGGGCCCGUAGUCCGCCGCCCUCCGCUCGCCGUCCCUCGCCUCCGCCGCCCCCGCGCCGCACCGCGCCUCUGCCCGCCGCCCCUCGGACGGCGCGGGGGCGGUCCCGGCACGGCGGCGGCGAGGGCGCGGGGCGGAGGGCGGCGGGGGCGGGAGGAGGACUACGGCUCCCGGCGGCGCUGGCGCGAGGGGGCGGCUCUGCCGGAGGCCGCGCUCCGCGGGCGGCGCGCGAGGGGCCGCGGGGUCGGGAGGCGGCGUGAGGGGCGGCCGCCAUCUUGGGGCGGGGGUGCGCGGGGCGCGGAGGGCCGUCCCCGUUCCCUCCGGGUCCUCCGCGCACCGCGGCUCCCGGCAGCGCGAGGGCGGCCGGCCAGAGCGGUUUCAAACUUAGAAAACUGCGCUCUGAUCGCGGGAACGUACAGACUCGUGCCGCCUCGAGUCCGAUUCUCGGAGCAGGUGUCAGGCGCCCGGCUACUGCUGUGCUGUGGGCACGGCCCGUGACGGUUCUGACGAGCAGCUGGGUAGAGCUCCGGGGGCUGCAGCCACCGAGCUCAGUAACUUCCUUUAAAAGCAACAUAAACAGCACAAAAUUAGACUGUUUUGUGGAAGCAGAAAUGCUUGGUAGUGGUAGGACUCUGUGCGCUUGCCUAGCAUGCCAUUGCAAGGACAAUCAGCAUGGAAAACCAGGACUUUGAGCUCUGCAUCUCUGCUUGAUCUUGACUUGCUGGUUGAUACCAGGAGCUGCUUCCCAGAUCCUCUUGAUUCGGUUCGAGAAGUUAGAAUUACCUGUAAUCAUUGGUAAACCAAAAGUCCCGAAUGGAGAACAAUGACAGGCGCCCACCGAGAAGUCAUCAUUUCAAAAACAUCCAGCUCCCACCUGUGCUUUGGGAUGUGAAAGAAUGACGUUGGCAGGUAGAGGCCUCAAGUUCCUCUCGGAUGCAUCUGGACCAUUUUAUUAGGGAGUCCACUGAGCCUGUGAUCAGCCUGAGUGCAGCUGAUGGUGAGCAGCGCCAAGGUGUGGUACUGAGCUGCUGAUCAAAUUGGUGUAUUUCAGAAGACCUGAAAAAAUUAGAUGAUUGAAACAUCACUCGUAAGCCACAGCUUCACCAUGAGGACUUUAGGAAAAGCAUGGCUGCACAGAGUACCUUCACCAGCAAUCUUCCAGGCUCCGACAAAACUAUUGUUCUUGAAGACCAGAAAGAUUGUUAUUGAGCUUUCCACAAAGCUGAAAUAAUGCUGUGUGUUAAAAAAAUGUUAACAAUUUGAAGAAGUUAUAAAAAUUUAUAAGUUGACUGAAUACUUUGGAAAUUUCUGCAUAUUUUAAUAUAAAUAGAAAAUCAAAGAAAUCGUGGAAGAUGGAGGAGUUAUUUCAGAUGCAUUUGGUGCAGUGAUGAGCUCAAACUUUAUUCGAAACUAUUAUGGUAAAAUAGAACAAGAAGAUACAAAAGAGAGAAAGAAGGAAUAGAAAGUGGUGGAAGGGAAGGGUAUGUCUGGUCCAGUUUGAAUGCCCUGUCCUGGAGUGGGAAGCAAGUUCUGCACUGUAUGUGGAUGAAGUUAAUCAGUUUGCAGUAACAAAGUGUUGGAAGGGACUUCAAGAGCUUAUCUAUACAGAGCUGGCCAGCCUGUGCCUUGGAGGCCUGCUGGGGAGAGGUGACAUUCAAGUGAUGAAGAAAUAGGAGUCUGCACCAUUCGUCAGCCUAGCGAGAAGGCGGCUCUAUGCUCACUUUGAAAGAGGGCAGUGCAAAAGUUACCUAGCGAUGUGAGUACUCUGGGCACGGCGGAGGAGCUUCCCACUGAAUGCGGCACAGCGGCACAGCUGCUGAGGAGAGCAUGGCAACAGCAAGAAAUGGAAUUCACUGAAGAAAGCGCUUGACAAGCCAUGUGAGAACCAGCGUGAGCAGCCAGUGGGCACAGCCCCAUCUUCUUGGGUGUGUUUGAACAUGAGAUUCACCACAUCUGAGAGGACUGGCAUAGCAGCUCAGCCCAGCUAGGCUGGCAGCUGCUCUAGGGAUGCUGUGGGAAAGGGCGCAGGAACAGAUGGAGAGUAGUCCUUUCCAGGCUUGACUGUCCUGCAUUCAGGAGGUUGUAUGAGGAGCCCAGGGAACAGACUCAGCUUUCAGCUUGGGCUGAAGUUAUGGCUGGGUGGCAGAGCAAAUCGUGGGAAGGUGUGCGACGUGCAGUGGGAGGCACUGAGCCGCUCUGGGCAGUCUCCCAGCCUGGCCCCUGCACUGGACACUGAAGUGGUUCUCCACAACAUGUGCACGAGGGAAAAGCAUGUCUGCAAACGAGCUGUGCGCUUGGAGAUGAGAAUGUAGCUUUAAUGUGGAGGUUUGCACAUUGAGAUGCACUGACCUACUGGGACAGUUAAUGUGUUUCUGGACUUGCACAUCCCCUGUUUUCAGGCAAACAUUUCAUGCAGAUUUGUAACAUGCGAUAGCUGCCAAGCAUCUUUUACAUAGUCACAGUCUAGUGACUGAAGGAUCCACUAAUUAAGAAGCCCUUAAUUAGGCUUUUAAAUGAUAAACUGUAAUAGCUCUAGUGCAGCUGUUGUAAACUGUAGAGUAAAUUAUACCCAGUUGAAAGAGGCUUUAAUUACGUAUUUAUAUAACAGACUUUAAGGACUUUGAAAGAUAAAAGAAUUUUUAGUGUCUGCAAUUAAAGAAACAAGAGAGUAACAAUAGGGCUCUUAAACCAAUGAAAGCAAGGAAAUUCAAAAUUAAUCUGCAAAGUCACACUGGUACUUUGUUUUAUGCUCGUGGCAUUCUAAUUUUGGGGGUUUGUUUUUAUUCUUUUUGUUUCCAUAAUGCAUGAGAUAAAGAAGUAUUGUCAGUCGGGAGUUGAUGUCCCCUGCUCUCACUUUCCUAGCUUUCAUAGGUCCAUGUGCAGCCUUGGUGAUACUUGAGGAAACUUUCCUUGCUUUCGUUUUUGCAGAAAUUCCAGCAAGAAGAUUAUCAACUACUUUUUCUCCUCGCAUCCCGGUUUACAGAAUGGUUUGUUGUACACAUGCCUUUGUGAAGUCAGCAGGAGCUCAAAAAUCGGUUGGUUUGUUGGUUGUACCUGGAACUAUUCAGCUCUUUGGAGAUGGUGCUGUGGGCUCCCUUUUUGCGGGGCUCCGACCUGCUGAAAUUGAAGAGGGUUAAGUCUUUGCUCACAUUUAGGUCUGGACCAGACUCCAGUCUACCUUCCUGUUAGAUACCAGCACUGCUGCCCUCUCCACAGCUCUGCCUGACACUGCCUCUCUUGGUAACCUCACCAGUAGUCACCAAACUUGCAUGUGCUCUCUGCUCCCCUGGUUUACCCAACCCUGCUUGCUUCCCUUCCUUGCCACCUCUCAUCACAAAUAACAUUGAUGCACAGCAGUGAAUAAACACUUCUUUAUAGAGAAAAAUAAAACUGUCUCUGAUGUGCCAUCCGUUGCCUGAUGGGUUUGCUGAUCUGUUGCCAAUUCUUUUCAUUUCUUAGAUUACUGCUCCUCAAGACAAGAGCUGUGUAUUUAGUGCCUGUGUGCCUCUGCCAAGUAGAUGGUAUGUACAUUAGACUGCGAGACUGUAAUGUGCAGAGAGCUCAGCUCCUUUAGCUGCUCUCUGGGACUGGUCUUUACAACUGUAGGACUUAGCAGCCCAAGACAGCUAAACAAGGUAUUGCUUUUUGCUUAUUCCAACCACAUCCAAGCAUUUUUAUCUGUAUCACAGCAAGGAAAAUAAGGAAUACCACUCUCACAGUUAAUUUUUAUGGCUGAUUAAUUAGCCCAAAGAGUAUUAAAUUGUGCUAAUGUAGUUUGCCUCUUCGAUGCUGUCUUUUGACUUCAAUGGAACUUAAUACGUGCUUAAAGUUAACUACAUGCCUAAGUGCUGUGGUGAAUCGGGGCCUAGGGCAUUAAUUAGAACUUGGCUCAGAUUUACUUUCAAGGCUUUUUUCUCCUCUUUUUUUUUUUUUAACUCUUCAGAGCUCAGCAGUUUAAUUGGUAUGCAGAUGUUCCCCUUUAUUGCUGGUAGAAGCCUCUGUCACUGUUCUGAAGGUACUCAGACAUCAAGGCUGGUACAGUGGGCAGGAAGAAACCCCCCCUGAAGGCUUUCAAGCUUUGUGGGAAAUAAUGAUGUAUGAGACAGGGAUUCCUUUGGAACCUGAAGGGAACAUGACAGAUAGAAUAAUAUGGGAGGAAAACAUUGUCUUCACAAUUGAGACUGAUGGUCUCAUCUUGUCUCCUUGUUAUUGUUACCAACCAAGACUGAGAUGAGCUUUCUUACGAAGAACUUCAUUUCGUGGCAGGUUCUAUAUGUUGGACGCACUGUGCUCAGUGGUAGCUUUCCAUCCAAGGUACAGAUAUUGACAGGCUCUGAGGAACUCUUUGGGAUGGUGCUUUAGCUUAAAACCUAAAAUUCCUUCCAGCAUUCAGAUGCAUUUUGUCAGGAGUGACAGUUGCAAUUUGAUAAUCUUUUACCACUUUGCCUGUCUAUCUCAAACAGCUAGCUGGAGGGGAGAAACCCAGAGUUGUUGGGCACAGGAGUGUCAGCUUUAUGAGUCAGCUUUUCUCACACUUUAUUAAUUUCACUUUCCAGUGGUUAGUGCAUGUUUGGAAGAGACAACUGAUUUGUACGGAUCUGUGUAGGAUGGAGCAAAGCUGGAACUAAAGGAGCGCAAGUUGACAGCAGUGCAAUAGCUCUAAUUGACAGAUACCAAAGGCACUAUUUAAAGCAACUUUUCUUCUGCUGUUAAAGUUAAAAAUGGCCCCCAAUUUGUCCUCAGAUUCCCAUGUUAAAAAGAAAUGUUUGCAAGUAUAUUAAUUUAAAAUGGAUUAGCUGGAAUAUUAAGUGCUCCUUUUAUGUACUUGCAUUUUCAAGUUAGAUGAUCCAAAAUGCUUCUGUGCAAGGUACAGGAAGAUGACUGUUUCUUAACUCCUCCAGAGUAAAAGCUGUCUUUCAGGGGAUACUUUGCACAUGUGAGAUUUGCACUAGUGGUUUUUUGGCACUCACAGUUUCAUCAGAAAUGCAUUUCAGCAAAUGGGAGGCAGAAGGAUUAAUACACACGCCGCGUGUCGUGGGUGCAAAAAUGCAAGUAGAAAUUACAACCAUCAUUGGAAGGUCUGGGAAAAUAAGCCUUCCUGGAUGCGAGCAGGACAAAUUAGGAAAUAUCAGAUUUCUUUUACAACUGGCUGUUACUCUUUACAUUUCUGGAGAACUGGGAUCUUGCUGUUAAUCUUACAAAAAUAGAUGCUGUGGUGAAGCCUCAGGCAUGAAUAAAAUUGGAUGUUAAUCUUAAAGCAGAUUUUUUACAGCUAUGCGCUCAGAGCCAGUGAAUCCAAAUGAUUUGGAAACUCUGUGUUUGUUACUUAUUUAGAUCAAAGUGCUGUGGGGAAACAGGUCAGCGGCCCAGGUACAUAUUGUAACGUUUGAGGCUCCUUAAAGUUGAGCAGAUAAGGGCAGCAAACAUUAAACAUCUCUGGCUUCACGCAAAUAAUAGGCAAAGCUGAAAAAAGCCUGCUGACAAGAGGAGUGGGUGUUGGUGGGUGACUUGCUGCAGUUUUAGAGCUGUUAAGUGUAGGUUUUUUAGCAUUUUCAUUAUUUAAAAGUGGAGUGGUAGUUUCUUCACUCCCUCUGAAAAGUUACCAAUUUACUCUGAAAUACAGGGUAACCCGCAGUGAUUUAACAGAUUUGUAAUGUGCUGUAGAGUGAUUUCAAGUAACAGACUCCCUCCUUCUCGCCAAGUUUCCCACCGUCUCAGCUCUGCCUCCGCUCCUUUCUCUGUGUACAUCUGCACCAAAAUGCAAAGCAGGGGCUGCCCCACGUGUGACUUUCAUCAGCCUAGCUCCGGUGUCAACAUGCUGGGCAGCUUUGACCGCUCGUGCCCAUGCGGGUUUGCCUUAUUCCCAGUGUUCAGAAAGAAGAGGCUGAGUUAAUGACGUUUGGACGUUGGAAAUCCCACCACAGAGCAUGGCGUGGUUCAAAAGCACCUGCCACUCUGCUAGUACCACUGCAAGCAGACAGUCCUUCCUGGUAUGCAGACCUUCAGCUAAGUUCAUGGGAAGUACCAACGGAGCGUGGUGUCGGUCCCCAGGGUGCUCCUGGAAUCUGGGCAAUAUCAUCAUCUGCACACCUCUCUGUCUGAUUCAGAGAAAGCAGCUGAGCUGUGUUCGCAAAUAGCUGUCCAAUAAGACAGGCUUCAUGCGAAGAUGAGAGGCAGCUGAGACAUUUUCCCUGGCUGUCAAGCUGAAUGGGUCUCAGCCAGCUCAUGCUCCAGCCAGUUCAUUCCUACCUAUUGCUUGUGUUCAGUUGCCAUGCCUAUGGAAGGAUAUUUAAGCUAGAAGCCCCUUAGCAUGAUAAUAUUUGAAUAUGACAGGACCUUGCUGAAUAGAAGCUGGCCUUGUAUUUACUCUGAACAGUCUCUGGUGGUUUGUGGUAGGGAAUUGGGAGCUGGGGCUGAAGCCACAGCCUCUAGGACCAAACCACAGAAUUUACACACUCCUGCCAAGGCCUGCCAAUCUGUGUUCCUAGCUGAAGGUCUGUGUCACCGCUAUUUUGUGUGCUAGUGUCUUUGCUGUUUGAGGGAGGAAUCUAUUUUGUUCAGUAUAGCAAUACCGUCUAGCCUAGUUUAAUUUUAUUAGCUGCUGAUAACGUGUUACUAUUCUGCACGUCCAUGAGCUUGUUUAGUGUCAAUAACCAAGGGCAGAAAUACUUGAAUGGGAGCCUAGAUGGAGAUGCUUUCUCUUUCUCUAUUCCUCAUGAGAACCCACCUGCAGUACCACCACAUCCAGCUCUCAGACCCCCAUCACAAGAAACACAAGGGCCUGCUAGAGGGAGUCCAGAGGAGGGCCGCAAAAAUGAUCAGGGGGUUGGAAAGCCUCUCCUAUGAAGAAAGCCUGAGAGAGGUGGGGUUGUUCAGCCUGGAGAAGAGAAGGCUCCAGGGAAACCUUACUGCAUCUUUUCUUAAAGAAGACUUAUAAGAAAGAUAGACUUUCUACAAGGGCAUGCAGUGAUAGGAUGAGAGAUAAAGAUUUUAAACUAAAAGCGGGUAUAUUUAGAUUAGAUGUAAGGAAGAAAUUCUUUAUUGUGUUGGUGGUGAGGUACUGAAACAGGUUGCCCAGAGAAAUUAGGGAUACCCCAUCCCUCGAAAUGUUCAAAGCCAGGUUGGAUGGGGAUUUGGGCAACCUGGUCUAGUGGGAGGCCUGUGGCAGGGGGUUGGAACUAGAUGAUCUUUUCGGUCUCUUCCAACCCAACCCCAACCAUUCUAUGAUUCUGUGCUGAUAUUCUGGAGGACUCCAAGGUUUCUUUUGCCUUUCUUCCUUUCCCUGAUCUAGAAGGCCAGGAGAACGCUUAUCCACUCAUAAUAAAUGAUUCAAGCUGCAUGAGACUGAAAGGUCACUACAAGUUUCUGUUACUCUCCUGGUGUGACUGGUACAAAUCACAUCUUCUAGCAAACUUUAAGCAAGUAUGCUUCUGUUACAAGGUGAGAUGGUAAGUUAGUGCCACUGACGUCUGUUGGGUAGAGCAUUUUAUUUUGAAACCAUUCUUGCUCUGAAGGCUCAGUCAACUGCUCUUAAUCUGGGAGCCUACAGUGUAGGUAAGUGUGGUCAUGAGGCUGAACAGCUCAUGCAACUCUCCUUGACUUGAACUGGAGAAAGGCCAGAGUUUGUUCACUUUCACAUUCUGUAACUGAGAAAAAUGAAUUCUCUUCUAGGGAAGCAGUAAUUCCUUCCAUUCUUCCCAAAUAGAUGAUGACUAAAGAAGGUCUGAGCUGAGUAUAGAUAUUCUUACAUUUACUUAAAAUGAACGUAGCUCAUAACUCUUAUUUUAGCACCAAUCUGGAACACUACUGUGAACAGAUUUACAAAGUCUGCCUGUUUCUUACCUUGGCAUUCUGGUAAUUAUACUCAUUCUUGCACUGAUACUUGGGAGUUUGAUGAAGCAAAUGCCUGAAAGGUGAGUAGGUGAAAGGUUGAUAGUUUUCUAUACAAACCUGUUCUUUUUGUGUACGCCAUAAUUUUCUUUCAGUUCUAAAGUAUGAUUUUCUUCUUCUGAUACUAAGGAGUGAGGCACUGGGUUUUUUUUUGUUUUGUUUUGUUUUUUUUCUUCUAGCAUGUAUGUCAUCAGCAGUUAUUAACUUUGUUCUAGUUGCAGGGUCCUUUGUUGCUGGAUUGAAAAAACCUACUAACUUCAACCAUGUGUUUUUAGACUAGACACUUAACAAAAACCUUUACUGCAUUUAUAAAAUGAGCAGAUUUAAUCUGAAAGUCAUUGAAAGAAACCAAUAAAGAACUUCCUUGAUGUGAUUUCUGGACUUACUAUGUGGAACUCUAUCACAUGUUUUCACGUAUUGGGCAUAAGGGCAUUUGAAAGGAUAAAGAAGGUUAAAUGUAGAUGAUAAUGAAAAUAUUAUCAGUAUUUAUAGGUCAGGCAAUAAUGUCAGUGUAUUAAUGUGAUAUGAAAUAUUUCUUUGAUUUCAUGGACAGUGCCUUACUGUAUAUAGCUUGCUGCAAUAGUGUGGUCCUUGAUAUACAUAGUUUAACUUUUAAAAUGUGUUAGUAAUCUGUUUGCCUUGAAAUGCCUUAUGAAAAGUAUACUUAUUAUAGAACACAUACAGUUGCUAUCUGCCUAGUGCUAUCUCUGUUAUAGCAACUUAAGCUAAGAGAACACAUUUGGAAGAAAACCUCUUCCAAGCAGAGAAUUUUUUUUUGUUAUUGUUGCUGUGAAACUGUUGCUGGAAACGUUCAUUAACAAUUAGAGAUGUAGUCUUUCAACUGGACUUCCUUCAUUCAAAUUAUAUACAGAUUGCAAGACUCUUCAAGCCUACGGUCAUGUCAGGAGUGUGAGGAGUAAGAUAUUAGCCUUUCUUUUAAUCAGGAGAUCUUUGGAAUAGGUAUCUUGUUCACCAAAUUGCCUUCCUUUUCAUCUGUCACCAAAUAACAUCUUUGUAGAACUGCAGUAACUGGAAAGAAAGAAAAUACUGGAAAGUAUUUCUGUAGUUAGAACUGGGCUUGGCAUAUUUUCACCCUUCUGGAAAAGAGAUGCUGGUUUUGGUUCUUUGCUUUUUAAUCCCCUUUUUCAUGCCGUUGAGUACUGGAACAAAAGAAUAAAGGUGAGUACUGAGUAAACUGUGAAUUCUUUUUGGAUCAGACUUCAAGAGUCUGUUCUGACACACAUUUUGGUGUCACUUCUUCUGAGGGACUGUACUGACAAGCUCUCAGAACAUAUUCUUCCACGACAACUUCACAUAAUUUAGUAAACAUUUGAAUAAAUUUCAUACCAUCUUAUUGAAGUAGGCAGAAUACUUAUUUCUUGAGUAACCGAGCUUAAGUUAAAUGCUCAUAAUAAUUAAAACUAUAGAUUACAAUUAGUGGCUUGCCAUUCUAUUGCAGAAGUAGGUUGAAUGAAAAUCUCUGUCAAAAAUUAGAGGUUAAACACUGAAUUAAGAUACCAAAUAAUAGUGUGUCAGGAGUAUAGCCUUCUAUUUAGGACAGUGUUGUCAUGCACCUUGCUUGUACAAGGUCUGGAAACACUGUGAGACUUGGACAAACACAGUGCAGCCUCAGACUGUAGGGAUGUUACCUCUUUUUGAGCACGAUAUGCUCAGUCUCUUGGUUGAUGGAAAUAUGUCCAGUAUCUAAGGAGCUUGAUAGUGUGGGAGACAGCCACAGAUGCUCGAUUAGAAUACCCGAACGUUGUAGCAUGGGGCAGGAUAUAGCUUCUGUUCCCUUCUGCACCUCUGAAAUUGGUGUAAUAUGAAUUAGAUUGUCAUCAAGUUUAAUUUGUGAAGACCCAUAAAACAGAAAUGGCUCUACAUCGGUGCUAAAACUUACGCCACUUGCAUUAAAUGCAUGAGUAGCAAUCAGUAUUUGUUAAAACAAGUGCUUUUCCAGAAAUAUUUAAGUAAAAUCUCUAGGUGAAAUCUGAGCAAAAUUUGGAUUGGUACCUGCAAAAAUGGUGACCUCCUCCCUUCUAAGUUCGAUUUUCCUCUUGACGAUAGCCCUUCACCUAGAUGCCUCCCCAGGCAGCUGUAGUGAAUGGAUCUGGCCACAGAGGGAAUCUGGCCCACCGAAUUCCUUUUCUUUCUGUGCAAUUGAAUGAAAAGCAUGUGUCUUUUGAAGAACAGCGACUGAAAGAAAUAUUAAUGACUGCUGGGACAUCUACAGAAAAGCAUAAAAAAAUUACUACAGCAGGGAAGACAAAGGGGCUCUGUUAACUCUUUCUUGUAGGUUGUAUAUAUUAAUAGUAACGACCAAAGGUUCGUAUUUUUGCAGGGAAACACACAAGGCUUUGAAUUGUAUUGUUUUAAUUGCAGCUAGCUGAAUGAAUUAACUGGAAAGUCACACACAGUGCUUUGAUUGUCUAACUCUGUAUGUGAGGCUUUGGGAACAGUUUGUUAUUAGAAAAGAACAGCACUAACAAGAAAUCAGCCAACAUAUAAUUGCUGGGCUGAGGGACAGUUUGGGGAAAGCUGAUAUUUAUUUAUAAACUAUUAAAUAAAAAGCACAUAAUAUGCGGGUCAUCUCUCACUGCCUCCACACUUCAGAUAUUACUCAUCCUCCUAAGCUUCGUGUUCUACGGGGCAUUGCUUCUUAUAACCACUUCAGGAGUUGAAACCACCUACACCUAGGGAAGGAGAUGCUUGGACCUCUGUUACAAUGGCAGUUUUGGUUAUGAGACUGCACCAAAGGACAUGACUUUUCAGUUCAAGGAAAGAAUUCUUGACCAGGGAGCUGCUAUGUGCCUAAAAUACACACAAGCACUCGGGACUCUGUUUAGGUAGCCUCAAUACUGGUCAGUGUUUCCUACUGACAGCAGCCAUCUAUCCAAUACCCUAAAUAAAAGCUUAAGUAAGGCUUAAGAACAAUUUUGGCAUUCAUUUUAGUGGGAUUCUCAAAAACAUUUUCUUCCCAUCAGUUUGGGAAUUAUGCAACUUCUGGUUGUCUCUUGUGCUUUUCUCUGCCUGCUUAGUGCUAUAUGACCUUAGAAUUACAGCCACUUUGGAAGAUACAGAGAGGAGGAAGGUGGCGGCUGGGCUCACCAAGAGGCUGGAAUGCAUUUCAUCCUCAAUAGUUUUGGCUAUCAAAUACCUGUUCCUGCUUCUCUGGGGGAUGGAACCAUGGCUCUUUCAUCUAUGAGCUUUUCUCUAGGAAAACAAACAUAACUAUUAUCAUUGGCCCAGCUCUUCACAGCUAUACAGUUUCCUCUCAUUUCCAGCCGAGAGCUAAGAAGCCAAAAUUAUGAUGGAUUAGCUCUCUGAGGCUUUCUAGCUGUGUGGAAAGAGUAUUCUCUCCUCCAUCUUUCCUUUAGAAGCAGAAGAGGUGACUUCUGGGGACACACACAGCCCAUCUCCCUUGCCUGGCCACCCUUUCAAGGGGCAGCCAUAGGUGUUGGCAGCUGUGGCACUCACAGUCAGGUGCACAGGGCAGCCAAUCCUCUCUGCUUCAGAGGUGCCUGUUGCAAAGCAGGUGCACUGACACCUAAGCAGAUCCUCACAUGGCCGUGCAACAAGUGUGUGAGCAACGUCUGGGCCUCGCAGUGAGGUGUGUGUCCUGCAGACCAGGAGGCCCUGGGGACAGAAAGGUGCACCGUCACCUGGGUAGAUGGCACUGCCAGACCCAGCUUUGGGCUCGCUGAGCUGCUAUAUGCAGAUGAUGUUUAUGCUGUACAAACAAAUAGUACUGUUAGACCAUUCAAAUAGCGUUCAUGCAGCUUUUAACUGGUAGAGACUUUAUUUUAUGAUUUCAUCUACAGGCUUGUUAGAAACUUCUGUAUCCACACCAUCGGGCAGACUUUCUCCGUGAGGCCCAGCUGAGGUGAUGUGAAAAUUGCAUCACUAUUAUCAGCUACCUACCCAGUGGGUGCAAGACUGUUGUGCCAGAAGGUGCUUGAGAGGCGGAGCUGGGCAGGAUUUGACUUUGCACAGCUCUUGCUAAGAAUUGCUAAAUAUCUCUUUAACUGGUUUUUGACAUUUGAAUGUAUUUUCCUCAAGUUAGUUAUUCUUCUACAAAGGAACGUAGUUGCAUUUAUGGAAGAUCUUGACUUUUACAGCGUGUGAGGCCCAUGCAGUUUCCCCUGUGUACGCGUGUUGCCUGCAUAAUUACCAACAGCUGUAACAAAAACCCAGUUUUGUUAAAGGAGCUUUCAACAGAAAGGUAGAAGUGAUAUGCAACAGAAGAAAAAUUAAAAACAAGAGGGCUUGGAAAACGUUUAUAUACUUAGGAAAAAAAUUCAUUUUUAAUCCUGUUCUAUUAUUCUCUCUCUGAUAUUAAAAUCUAUAUAAAGCACUGCUGAUUUCAAUCGGCUCAACGCGAGGUAAUUCAGAACUCCC